RNAcentral lists this ribosomal RNA (449 nucleotides) under uncultured bacterium. RNAcentral describes it as "bacterial SSU rRNA". It matches the Rfam family "Bacterial small subunit ribosomal RNA", at positions 355 to 796 of the family's 1533-position model. The record is from RNAcentral.
UGGGGAAUUUUGGACAAUGGGGGCAACCCUGAUCCAGCAAUGCCGCGUGUGUGAAGAAGGCCUUCGGGUUGUAAAGCACUUUUGUCCGGAAAGAAAACUUCGUCCCUAAUAUGGAUGGAGGAUGACGGUACCGGAAGAAUAAGCACCGGCUAACUACGUGCCAGCAGCCGCGGUAAUACGUAGGGUGCGAGCGUUAAUCGGAAUUACUGGGCGUAAAGCGUGCGCAGGCGGUGAUGUAAGACCGAUGUGAAAUCCCCGGGCUUAACCUGGGAACUGCAUUGGUGACUGCAUUGCUGGAGUAUGGCAGAGGGGGGUGGAAUUCCACGUGUAGCAGUGAAAUGCGUAGAGAUGUGGAGGAACACCGAUGGCGAAGGCAGCCCCCUGGGCCAAUACUGACGCUCAUGCACGAAAGCGUGGGGAGCAAACAGGAUUAGAUACCCCCGUAGUCC